CCUACGGGGUGCAGCAGUGGGGGAUAUUGGACAAUGGGGGAAACCCUGAUCCAGCGACGCCGCGUGAGUGAAGAAGUAUUUCGGUACGUAAAGCUCUAUCAGCAGGGAAGAAAAUGACGGUACCUGACUAAGAAGCCCCGGCCAACUACGUGCCAGCAGCCGCGGUAAUACGUAGGGGGCAAGCGUUAUCCGGAUUUACUGGGUGUAAAGGGAGCGUAGACGGCAGUAGAAGUCUGGAGUGAAAUUCCGGGGCUUAACCCCGGAACUGCUUUGGAAACUGUGCGGCUGGAGUGCAGGAGGGGUAAGCGGAAUUCCUAGUGUAGCGGUGAAAUGCGGAGAUAUUAGGAGGAACACCGGUGGCGAAGGCGGCUUACUGGACUGUAACUGACGUUGAGGCUCGAAAGCGUGGGGAGCAAACAGGAUUAGAUACCCUUGUAGUC
This 440-nucleotide ribosomal RNA is filed under the name uncultured bacterium. RNAcentral describes it as "partial 16S ribosomal RNA". It matches the Rfam family "Bacterial small subunit ribosomal RNA", at positions 338 to 795 of the family's 1533-position model. The record is from RNAcentral.